This 411-nucleotide RNase P RNA is filed under the name Aliigemmobacter aestuarii. RNAcentral describes it as "Gemmobacter aestuarii Bacterial RNase P class A". It matches the Rfam family "Bacterial RNase P class A". From Rfam's summary of the family: Ribonuclease P (RNase P) is a ubiquitous endoribonuclease, found in archaea, bacteria and eukarya as well as chloroplasts and mitochondria. Its best characterised activity is the generation of mature 5'-ends of tRNAs by cleaving the 5'-leader elements of precursor-tRNAs. Lineage: Bacteria; Pseudomonadati; Pseudomonadota; Alphaproteobacteria; Rhodobacterales; Paracoccaceae. The record is from Rfam by way of RNAcentral.
GCGGAUGGCCGGAUGACCGCGGGAUGCCGCAAGGUGUGUCGAGGAAAGUCCGGACUCCAUGAGGCAAGGGUGCCGGGUAACGCCCGGCGGGGGCAACCCCAGGGAAAGCGCCACAGAGAUGAUACCGCCCCGCCUGCGGGGUAAGGGUGAAAUGGUGGGGUAAGAGCCCACCGCGGACCGGGCAACCGGGACGGCACGGCAAGCCCCACCCGGAGCAAUGCCGAAUAGGGGCCUUGCGCGGAAAGGUCCGGCGACCUCCCGGAAACGGGAUGCCGGAGACCUCCGCAGGGACGCUUCAGCCCAGAGGCCCGGGUUGGCAGCACGAUCCCGCCGGUAACGGCGGGACCAGAGGAAUGGUCAUCGAAGGGGGAAACCCCGGAACAGAAUCCGGCUUACAGGCCAUCCGCGCAC